GGACACAUUUUUCAAUGUCACUAAUUGAAUACUUAUGGUGACGAUAUAUUUCGUCACAAAAAGAGUUACUAAUAGUGACAAAAUUAGUUGUUGUGACUAAAUGAAUAUAUAACAGUAACGAUAUAGUUUGUCACCAAAAAGUUAAUUUUUAUGACACAUUUUUCUCUGUCGCUAAUUGAAUACUUAUAGUGACGAUAGAAAUC
This 203-nucleotide long non-coding RNA is filed under the name Panax ginseng (ginseng). RNAcentral's name for it is "long non-coding RNA (PGIN_LNC003889)". The record is from RNAcentral. Lineage: Eukaryota; Viridiplantae; Streptophyta; Magnoliopsida; Apiales; Araliaceae.